RNAcentral lists this long non-coding RNA (1619 nucleotides) under Cairina moschata (Muscovy duck). RNAcentral describes it as "domestica (muscovy Duck (domestic type)) lncRNA (ENSCMMG00000004354.1)". The record is from RNAcentral. Lineage: Eukaryota; Metazoa; Chordata; Aves; Anseriformes; Anatidae.
AUGCCAGGAGGUACUGCCUCUACCUGCGACAAAGGCGCACGAUGGCACUUGGGGACGGGAGUCCUCCGCCGGCACCGGAUCACUGGAGGCAAACAUCGAAUUAAUUGGAUCUCAGUGACUGAGAUCGGUAACAUUGUGCUGAACUGAGGUUAUCUCUGACAUUACGUCCAGGUGUCUGCAAGAAUUUUUAGGCAUUUCUAGAAAAGGACUUGAAACACAUCGUUGCGCGGGCCAGUCUGACUGGCGAAGACUGUCAAAGUCGAAAUGCUGUCUGUUCCCGCUGCACUGGGAAGCUUUGCCUUGGCUCUGCGGGGGGAAAAGAGAUGUAGGAUCAGCCCCACGGAGGAAAGAUAGAGGAGAAUGAAAGACAAAGCAGAAGAACAUGUGGCUCCUGAACACAACAGGACAAGAGACUGCAUCCUGAGAGCUAGGCAACAUUUCUCAUCCAAAUGAAAGAAUAAUGCCCUCCUACUGCAAUUGCAAUUUCCUCUGCAACAAAAACACGCGUAAAAUGGGCACAGUGGAUAGCAACGACCUAUCAGUUUCCUGCUGUAGUUCUGCUAAUAAAUAAACUUCUAAAUGUUUAAAACACUCUAUCUGUCACAUUCACAAGAUAGGUACUGUAAAUUCCUGUUGCAGAUAUACAAACAGAGAUCCAAGAGGUUGCCUCUGUUUUUGUAUCUCUCUCUCACAAGAAAUGCACUAUCAAAACAUUAAUUAUAUUUGAAAGGGAGCAGAUUAUUUGUUUGAGAAAGAAUUACAUUCUUGAAUUUAUAUUCCACGCAGAUCUCUCCUCCUGUCUGCCGAGAGGGUUGAACUGUAAAUCUGUCUCAAAUGAUGUACCCCUAAAAUGUAGGUAUCUGUGGAGGAAGAAGGUGCCGCGACGAGAACCGCCUGCCAGCCAGAGCGGGGAACUGCCCGGCAGAAGGCUACGUGAUGGACGAGGGCUGCGUGGUCACGAUGGCAGAGCGGGACGGCGUGCUGGCACCAAACGCGUGCUUUUUUUUUUUUUUGUUCGCUACAACCAAAAAGAAACAUGGAGGGGGGCGAGGAGGGAAGGCAGUGGGGGCUGGGAGGGAGAGAUCAGAGAAGUUAGUGGCUGUCUGGAGUGUAAACACGAGUCCAUCAGUUCUUCGGGAGAAGGGCGGCUGCGCUCGACAGACCCGCGGAGCCACAGGACGCAGAAGGGGCGGAGGCGUCCUCGGCCCACCCCGGGCCCCCGCCGUUCGUCUGGAGCCCCGAGGGCUGCAGGGCAGCGCUGGGCACCGCAGCCAAUCCCGAACUUCUCCCCGGGUCCAUCCGGGCUCCUCGAUGACCGCCGUGCCGUCGGAGGGACGCAGAGAUCAUCCCAGGCUUGGGGAUGGGACAGGACGCGGAGGGGGUGGCAUGAAACAGCCUUAGGGCUGCAAACCCCAUUUAAUUCCUCGCUUAGCUUGGUGCAGAUCUCCCGCUCCUCCCUCGGACUUCGCGGGGAAGGCUGCAGUGGCCAAGCCCGUCCGUCUUGCGUUGCUGUACUGUACUGCCGCCGUGCCAAUAAACGCUCCGAGCACGGCUUAAUUGGCGGCCAGAGCUGCUCCGGCCUCUCCGUUCCGGCCCGGCCCGGCUCGGCCCGGCUCUGA